This 1372-nucleotide ribosomal RNA is filed under the name uncultured bacterium. RNAcentral describes it as "bacterial SSU rRNA". It matches the Rfam family "Bacterial small subunit ribosomal RNA", at positions 28 to 1381 of the family's 1533-position model. The record is from RNAcentral.
GAUGAACGCUGGCGGCGUGCCUAAUACAUGCAAGUCGAGCGAACGGACGAGAAGCUUGCUUCUCUGAUGUUAGCGGCGGACGGGUGAGUAACACGUGGAUAACCUACCUAUAAGACUGGGAUAACUUCGGGAAACCGGAGCUAAUACCGGAUAAUAUUUUGAACCGCAUGGUUCAAAAGUGAAAGACGGUCUUGCUGUCACUUAUAGAUGGAUCCGCGCUGCAUUAGCUAGUUGGUAAGGUAACGGCUUACCAAGGCAACGAUGCAUAGCCGACCUGAGAGGGUGAUCGGCCACACUGGAACUGAGACACGGUCCAGACUCCUACGGGAGGCAGCAGUAGGGAAUCUUCCGCAAUGGGCGAAAGCCUGACGGAGCAACGCCGCGGGAGUGAUGAAGGUCUUCGGAUCGUAAAACUCUGUUAUUAGGGAAGAACAUAUGUGUAAGUAACUGUGCACAUCUUGACGGUACCUAAUCAGAAAGCCACGGCUAACUACGUGCCAGCAGCCGCGGUAAUACGUAGGUGGCAAGCGUUAUCCGGAAUUAUUGGGCGUAAAGCGCGCGUAGGCGGUUUUUUAAGUCUGAUGUGAAAGCCCACGGCUCAACCGUGGAGGGUCAUUGGAAACUGGAAAACUUGAGUGCAGAAGAGGAAAGUGGAAUUCCAUGUGUAGCGGUGAAAUGCGCAGAGAUAUGGAGGAACACCAGUGGCGAAGGCGACUUUCUGGUCUGUAACUGACGCUGAUGUGCGAAAGCGUGGGGAUCAAACAGGAUUAGAUACCCUGGUAGUCCACGCCGUAAACGAUGAGUGCUAAGUGUUAGGGGGUUUCCGCCCCUUAGUGCUGCAGCUAACGCAUUAAGCACUCCGCCUGGGGAGUACGACCGCAAGGUUGAAACUCAAAGGAAUUGACGGGGACCCGCACAAGCGGUGGAGCAUGUGGUUUAAUUCGAAGCAACGCGAAGAACCUUACCAAAUCUUGACAUCCUUUGACAACUCUAGAGAUAGAGCUUUCCCCUUCGGGGGACAAAGUGACAGGUGGUGCAUGGUUGUCGUCAGCUCGUGUCGUGAGAUGUUGGGUUAAGUCCCGCAACGAGCGCAACCCUUAAGCUUAGUUGCCAUCAUUAAGUUGGGCACUCUAAGUUGACUGCCGGUGACAAACCGGAGGAAGGUGGGGAUGACGUCAAAUCAUCAUGCCCCUUAUGAUUUGGGCUACACACGUGCUACAAUGGACAAUACAAAGGGCAGCGAAACCGCGAGGUCAAGCAAAUCCCAUAAAGUUGUUCUCAGUUCGGAUUGUAGUCUGCAACUCGACUACAUGAAGCUGGAAUCGCUAGUAAUCGUAGAUCAGCAUGCUACGGUGAAUACGUUCCCGGGUCU